GGGUGUAGAGCUCAGUGGUAGAGUGCAUGCUCAGCAUGCAGGAGGUCCUGGAUUCAAUCCUCAGUACAUCUA
RNAcentral lists this transfer RNA (72 nucleotides) under Camelus bactrianus (Bactrian camel). It matches the Rfam family "tRNA". From Rfam's summary of the family: Transfer RNA (tRNA) molecules are approximately 80 nucleotides in length. RNAcentral also lists the same sequence under 2 other names. The record is from Rfam by way of RNAcentral. Lineage: Eukaryota; Metazoa; Chordata; Mammalia; Artiodactyla; Camelidae.